Molecule: ribosomal RNA, 497 nt
Filed under: uncultured bacterium
Lineage: Bacteria
Description: partial 16S ribosomal RNA
Rfam family: Bacterial small subunit ribosomal RNA
Source: RNAcentral
GAUGAACGCUGGCGGCGUGCCUAAUACAUGCAAGUCGAGCGAACAGAUGAGGAGCUUGCUCCUCUGACGUUAGCGGCGGACGGGUGAGUAACACGUGGAUAACCUACCUAUAAGACUGGGAUAACUUCGGGAAACCGGAGCUAAUACCGGAUAAUAUAUUGAACCGCAUGGUUCAAUAGUGAAAGACGGUUUUGCUGUCACUUAUAGAUGGAUCCGCGCCGCAUUAGCUAGUUGGUAAGGUAACGGCUUACCAAGGCAACGAUGCGUAGCCGACCUGAGAGGGGUGUUGGCCCAAAUGGAACUGAGACACGGUCCAGACUCCUACGGGAGGCAGCAGUAGGGAAUCUUCCGCAAUGGGCGAAAGCCUGACGGAGCAACGCCGCGUGAGUGAUGAAGGUCUUCGGAUCGUAAAACUCUGUUAUUAGGGAAGAACAAAUGUGUAAGUAACUAUGCACGUCUUGACGGUACCUAAUCAGAAAGCCACGGCUAACUACGUG